AAAUAAAUAAAUAAUAAUAAUAAAGAAACAAGAGAGAGAGAGAGAGGGGUCCCACCCUUGGUGCAACCAUUCUUUCUUUACUGGAUUUGUGGAUCUAGGGCCGACUUACCCAGUCGGGACCCGAAGUCUGCUCAAGCCCAUUUUGGGUUGUUUAGAGGUUUUAAUUAGAUUUUAAAUGGUGAAUAGCAAGUAAUUCAUUUUAAAAUAAUUUUGAUAGGUGCAACGGAGUUGCUCAACUAAAUCUAGGGAUCUUUGGAUGAACAGAGGUAAGUAAAUCUUAUACUCCUUACUACUUUUAGAAGUUAUGAUCAUAUUUUUCGUGCAUAAAAUCUGCAUAUGAAAAUAUCAUAUUUUUCCUAAAAUUGUGGAUCAGCAUGUGUUAUGAAAAUCAUUCUUUAUUAUGAAAAAUAGUUUCAUGAAUGUGUUGAUGAAAAUAGAUCUGUUAUGAAUCUGAUCAUGUCCUUUAGUAUUUUUUACCUAUUUAUGUGUAUAUUUUAAGAAAAAGAUAUAAGUUUUCUAAAGGCUCUCAAAAAGCUAUAAUCGCCUCUAGAAAUGGAGGCCAGUCGACACCCUAGAGCUAGAAUCCAACGAAAACGGCCCUCUGCCAAUGAGUUAAAGUUCGUAACGAAUAUGAAUUAUGAAAUCUUAUCGAUUAUGAAGACAUCCCUUUCACGAAAUUAUAGUGACCAUGGCAACACUAAAAUCUGCGAGCAAUGUUUUGAACUAUGAUAUGACUAAAUGACAGAAGAAUGAUUUAUGCAAAAUAAACUUGAUACUAUAUUUGUAGAAAAUAAAUGAUUUAUGCAUGCAUUGCUGUAUGAUUUAUUUUAAUAUAUGUGAUAUGAAAUGUUUAUCUUGAAAUAUCUAUUAUUUUUUUUAAACGAUGCAUUGACAUAGAAAACUUAUGCUUGAUCCGGUAAGGUAGUAAAAUAUUUACUUACUAAGUUGUGUCGCUCAUAUACUUCUGUUUUAUUUUUCUCCCUAGACAAAUAAGAUUAGUAGGGAUAAAGGUUGGCUUGGAGAUCGCACUAGCAAGCUUGACAAUAUUGUAGAAAAGUUUUAGUAGCGUAGUUAAUGAUGAGUUGAGCAUGAUGUUGGAUUUUAGAUGCUCUAUACUUCUUUUUUUUUAAUUAGUAAAUAGAAUUGAACAAAUUUUAUCAUACUAUAUAAAAAAAAUAUUGUUAUUAUAGGCUUUUUACCGUAGCACGGCCAUGUCACCCUAAGGCGCGACAAGUCGUGCAUCGAAUCCGGAUCGUAACAAAUAUAGCAUCGGAUCCUGACCUGAUCUGGACCAAAGACAGCGGGCCUAGCCGGCUUUUCUCCUUCGGAACAGGGGACCGCGAUCCCCUGCCCGAGCGGCUUGAAGGGUCGUCGUUGCAACCGUCGAAGGGCUGCCGUUGAGGCCAUUAGAGUCGGUUACAACCGACGAAAGGCCGGCCGUUGCAGCCAUUCCGAGCCUGUCCCUUCUUCCGGGGGUAAUAAAAACCCCCGAUCAACCACCCGAUUUGCCACCUCCUUCCUCUUUCCUUCUUCCUCUUCCUCUUCCUUCUUCCUCCUCCUUCCUUUCCUCCUUUCCUUUCUAUCUUCCUUUUUUCCUUCCUCUGCUUGGGCUCACCAUGCCCUCGCUCGUGCCACCGGGAUCACGGCCGCAACACCUCCUGAGAGCGAGGUAAGAUCCCCUGUCUCCUCCCCUACCUCCCCCUCCUUCCGAUCGACCAGCAAUGGCCGAAAUCCGGCAAAGGGCCGCUGGGAUGAGGAAGAAGAAGAAGAAGAAGAAGAAGAAGGAGAGGAAAAGAAGAAAAAGAAGAAGAGAUGGGAGACCACUUACCUGGUGGUCGUUCCCAUAGUCCUCGGCUGAAGCCGCCAUCGGUGCUCAGUCGUAGCCGCCGCCGGUGCUCGGCCACAGCCGCCGAUGGGCUGGAGGCCCUUUCUGCUCCUUUCCCUCUUGUUCGCGAUAAAGAGGCAUAGAGAAAAGAAGAAGAAGAAGAAGAAAAAGAAGGAAGAAAGAAAGAAGAAGAGAAGGAGAAGAGGGGGGAGGACACUUACCGGUCCUCGGUUGCAGCUGCAAUCGGGCCGGAGGCCUUCCUCCCUUCUCCUGCUUCUCGGUGGGGGGAGGGUUCAGACCGCCCCCCUUUCCACCGAAGAAAAGACGGGAGAGUGAUGAG
RNAcentral lists this long non-coding RNA (2165 nucleotides) under Phoenix dactylifera (date palm). Its description in RNAcentral is "long non-coding RNA (PDAC_LNC004061)". The record is from RNAcentral. Lineage: Eukaryota; Viridiplantae; Streptophyta; Magnoliopsida; Arecales; Arecaceae.